Zonotrichia leucophrys gambelii is the source of this 730-nucleotide long non-coding RNA. RefSeq lists it as uncharacterized. Lineage: Eukaryota; Metazoa; Chordata; Aves; Passeriformes; Passerellidae. The transcript is spliced from 3 exons. The record is from RefSeq and is a predicted model, not a curated record.
UCCCCGCGCUGGGCGCUGAUGAGCCCCGUCCCAUCGGCAGUGCCACAGGUGUGCUGCGCUCGCUGCAAUGCAAAUGCGAAACCGCCCGCACACGAGCGGCAGGGGGGAUGGCUGCGGGGAGCUGCACCUGCGGAUGGCGAUGCGCUGAUACUCCUGCACAACGCGCUCCAGCCUCGGGAGUCAGUCCCGGUGUUCCCUUCUCGCCCGGGCCAAGAUGAGGGCUCUGCAAACCUCACAGGCUUAUAAACCUCACUUGUCUCACCUACACUCCCACCUGGAAGAGUACAGCUUUUUUUUUUUGGCAGCAGGAAUGAUACCUGGAGGGAAAGAAAAGUUGACUUCCCUUACUUCAGGAGAGGUUUCAGGUCAGGCUUCCCUGACAGAGGUUUGGAAUUUAAAUGUGCUGUUGCCGUGCAUUUGAUCUGAUCAAGCACAGUAGUGGGUGGCUGUUGUAAGAUGAAAAAGGAUAAACAGCUAAAACCUGAGUGAAGUUAUUGCUGAGGAGAAUAUGAUUAAUAUAUGAAAGACAAGAGGAUAUUGACUUUUGCAGCUGCCCUGUAGUCAGCAGAAAAGGAGUUGUUCAGAGCAUUACACUGGGUUCUCAGCCAUGAAUACAGCUGUAAUGCCAUAAUCCCAGCCCGGCAUUGUCGUCUGAUCCCGUGUGCCUUGCACAAACAGCGCUGCAGGUCAGGCAAAGGCAAGUCUGGGAUGCCAAAGAGGUUUUAAUAGA